UGCAAGUCGAGCGGUAACAGAUCUAGCUUGCUAGAUGCUGACGAGCGGCGGACGGGUGAGUAAUGCAUAGGAAUCUGCCCUGUAGUGGGGGAUAACCUGGGGAAACCCAGGCUAAUACCGCAUACGUCCUACGGGAGAAAGGGGGCUUCGGCUCCCGCUACGGGAUGAGCCUAUGUCGGAUUAGCUAGUUGGUGAGGUAACGGCUCACCAAGGCGACGAUCCGUAGCUGGUCUGAGAGGAUGAUCAGCCACAUCGGGACUGAGACACGGCCCGAACUCCUACGGGAGGCAGCAGUGGGGAAUAUUGGACAAUGGGGGGAACCCUGAUCCAGCCAUGCCGCGUGUGUGAAGAAGGCCUUCGGGUUGUAAAGCACUUUCAGCGAGGAAGAACGCCUAGUGGUUAAUACCCAUUAGGAAAGACAUCACUCGCAGAAGAAGCACCGGCUAACUCCGUGCCAGCAGCCGCGGUAAUACGGAGGGUGCAAGCGUUAAUCGGAAUUACUGGGCGUAAAGCGCGCGUAGGUGGCUUGAUAAGCCGGUUGUGAAAGCCCCGGGCUCAACCUGGGAACGGCAUCCGGAACUGUCAGGCUAGAGUGCAGGAGAGGAAGGUAGAAUUCCCGGUGUAGCGGUGAAAUGCGUAGAGAUCGGGAGGAAUACCAGUGGCGAAGGCGGCCUUCUGGACUGACACUGACACUGAGGUGCGAAAGCGUGGGUAGCAAACAGGAUUAGAUACCCUGGUAGUCCACGCCGUAAACGAUGUCGACCAGCCGUUGGGUGCCUAGAGCACUUUGUGGCGAAGUUAACGCGAUAAGUCGACCGCCUGGGGAGUACGGCCGCAAGGUUAAAACUCAAAUGA
This 855-nucleotide ribosomal RNA is filed under the name Halomonas sp. B3_(MB)_30.3mbsf. RNAcentral's name for it is "bacterial SSU rRNA". It matches the Rfam family "Bacterial small subunit ribosomal RNA", at positions 56 to 908 of the family's 1533-position model. Lineage: Bacteria; Pseudomonadati; Pseudomonadota; Gammaproteobacteria; Oceanospirillales; Halomonadaceae. The record is from RNAcentral.